This 498-nucleotide ribosomal RNA is filed under the name uncultured bacterium. RNAcentral's name for it is "partial 16S ribosomal RNA". It matches the Rfam family "Bacterial small subunit ribosomal RNA", at positions 28 to 523 of the family's 1533-position model. The record is from RNAcentral.
GACGAACGCUGGCGGCGUGCCUAACACAUGCAAGUCGAGCGGAGGUAACUAGAGGAAGUUUUCGGAUGGAAUCUGGUUACUUUAGCGGCGGACGGGUGAGUAACGCGUGAGCAACCUGCCUUUCACAGGGGGAUAACGGAUCGAAAGAUUCACUAAUACCGCAUGAGACCACGGGGGUGCAUACUCCAGGGGUCAAAGGAGCAAUCCGGUGAAAGAUGGGCGCGCGUCCGAUUAGAUAGUUGGUGGGGUAACGGCCUACCAAGUCAACGAUCGGUAGCCGACCUGAGAGGGUGAUCGGCCACACUGGAACUGAGAGACGGUCCAGACUCCUACGGGAGGCAGCAGUGGGGAAUAUUGGGCAAUGGGGGAAACCCUGACCCAGCAGCGCCGCGUGAGGGAAGAAGGUUUUCGGAUUGUAAACCUCUGUCCUUGGUGAAGAGAGGAAGACGGUAGCCAAGGAGGAAGCCCCGGCUAACUACGUGCCAGCAGCCGCGGUAA